UUAAUACUCCAUCCAUCCUAAAAUUCUUGUCUUAAAUUUAUUUAGAUAUGAAUGUAUCUAGUUAACUUUUAGUAUUUAGAUACGUUCAUUUCUAGACAGAGUUAAGACAGGAAUUUUGAGAUGAAGGGAGUAAAUG
RNAcentral lists this microRNA precursor (136 nucleotides) under Hordeum vulgare. RNAcentral describes it as "microRNA MIR1122". It matches the Rfam family "MIR1120/MIR1122 microRNA precursor family". Lineage: Eukaryota; Viridiplantae; Streptophyta; Magnoliopsida; Poales; Poaceae. The record is from RNAcentral.